AGGGUCAUCAACAGAUGUUACUUAUGAAUCGGAUGCAGACGUGUUACCUCCACUUCUGCGUCUUAAUCAGCCAGCUAUUGAAACCAUUUGGCUAACUGAUUCGGAUUAAUAUGGUUUUUAGGGAGGUAUUUAUUAUUGUUGAAAACAUGAACGUUAGAGAUCACUGUUAACAGAUAGAGUUGUUGGAAAUUAUUGUCAUGUGUACUCUACGCUAUGAGAC
This is a long non-coding RNA of Adelges cooleyi (spruce gall adelgid), 220 nucleotides long. RefSeq lists it as uncharacterized. Lineage: Eukaryota; Metazoa; Arthropoda; Insecta; Hemiptera; Adelgidae. The transcript has 3 exons. The record is from RefSeq and is a predicted model, not a curated record.